AAAACAUAGCCUUUAGCACGACAAGUAUUAAAGGUCUCGCCUGCCCCAGUGAAUAUUUUUAACGGCCGCGGUAUCCUAACCGUGCAAAGGUAGCGUAAUCAUUUGUCCCCUAAAUAGGGACUCGCAUGAACGGCUAACUGAGGUUCUAACUGUCUCAUCAGGCUGAUCAAUGAAACUGAUCUUUUAGUACAAAAGCUAAAAUGAUAACAUAAGACGAGAAGACCCUGUGGAGCUUUAAACUAAUAUUAUUACUUUUUCCCGACACAUCAGUCAAUAAAUCAUAAUAAAAGUUUUCAGUUGGGGCGACUUUGGAACAAAAGAAAACUUCCAUGCCCAGGAAUCCCUUCCUAUUAAGGUGGACACACCAAAACAUCAACACUAUUGACCCAGCAUUGCUGAGCCACGAACCAAGUUACCCCAGGGAUAACAGCGCCAUCCUCUUCAAGAGUCCCUAUCGACAAGAGGGUUUACGACCUCGAUGUUGGAUCAGGACCCCCCGGUGGUGCAACCGCUACCAAAGGUUCGUUGUUC
Molecule: ribosomal RNA, 531 nt
Filed under: Lucasium damaeum (beaded gecko)
Lineage: Eukaryota; Metazoa; Chordata; Lepidosauria; Squamata; Diplodactylidae
Description: partial 16S ribosomal RNA
Rfam family: Bacterial large subunit ribosomal RNA
Source: RNAcentral